Corticium candelabrum is the source of this 419-nucleotide long non-coding RNA. RefSeq lists it as uncharacterized. The record is from RefSeq and is a predicted model, not a curated record. Lineage: Eukaryota; Metazoa; Porifera; Homoscleromorpha; Homosclerophorida; Plakinidae. The transcript has 4 exons.
CGCAGAACUACAUAUGUCGACAACUCUUUGGUUCUUUCGAUCACCAUUUGUUACAGCCUUUUGCAUUAAAAGUGUUGUUGGAAUUUGGAAAUGUUUUCAUCUAAACAAAUGAUGAACCAAGAACUUUUCGUUGCGGUGGAGCUAGAUGACAUAGAGACAGUCACUCGUUUGAUUGCAAGAGGUGCAGACGCUAAUACACGUGGUGGGAUACAUAAUAGAAUUUGACUGUUCUGUUCGAAGCAUUUUAUAAUAAAAACAAGGAGAUGGUUGAGCUGCUAUUAGAAAGUGGAUCAGACGUGAAUGAGACUGAUAACAAAUUUGGAAUGACAGUUUUGAUGCUGGCAGCAGAGACAGGAAAUGUAAAAAUGGUUGAUUUACUCAUUAAACAUCAUGCAGAUGUGUUGAAGAAGAAUACAGUG